RNAcentral lists this ribosomal RNA (557 nucleotides) under uncultured bacterium. RNAcentral's name for it is "bacterial SSU rRNA". It matches the Rfam family "Bacterial small subunit ribosomal RNA", at positions 102 to 694 of the family's 1533-position model. The record is from RNAcentral.
ACGGGUGAGUAACGCGUGGGAACAUACCUUUUGGUUCGGAACAACACAGGGAAACUUGUGCUAAUACCGGAUAAGCCCUUACGGGGAAAGAUUUAUCGCCGAAAGAUUGGCCCGCGUCUGAUUAGCUAGUUGGUGAGGUAAUGGCUCACCAAGGCGACGAUCAGUAGCUGGUCUGAGAGGAUGAUCAGCCACAUUGGGACUGAGACACGGCCCAAACUCCUACGGGAGGCAGCAGUGGGGAAUAUUGGACAAUGGGCGCAAGCCUGAUCCAGCCAUGCCGCGUGAGUGAUGAAGGCCCUAGGGUUGUAAAGCUCUUUUGUGCGGGAAGAUAAUGACGGUACCGCAAGAAUAAGCCCCGGCUAACUUCGUGCCAGCAGCCGCGGUAAUACGAAGGGGGCUAGCGUUGCUCGGAAUCACUGGGCGUAAAGGGUGCGUAGGCGGGUCUUUAAGUCAGGGGUGAAAUCCUGGAGCUCAACUCCAGAACUGCCUUUGAUACUGAAGAUCUUGAGUUCGGGAGAGGUGAGUGGAACUGCGAGUGUAGAGGUGAAAUUCGUAGA